AUUGAACGCUGGCGGAAUGCUUUACACAUGCAAGUCGAACGGCAGCACGGGAGCUUGCUCCUGGUGGCGAGUGGCGAACGGGUGAGUAAUAUAUCGGAACGUAUCCAAUAAUGGGGGAUAACUAAUCGAAAGGUUGGCUAAUACCGCCUACGCCCUACGGGGGAAAGCAGGGGAUCUUCGGACCUUGCGUUGAUGGAGCGGCCGAUAUCGGAUUAGCUAGUUGGUGGGGUAAAGGCCUACCAAGGCGACGAUCCGUAGCUGGUCUGAGAGGACGACCAGCCACACUGGAACUGAGACACGGUCCAGACUCCUACGGGAGGCAGCAGUGGGGAAUUUUGGACAAUGGGGGCAACCCUGAUCCAGCCAUUCCGCGGGAGUGAAGAAGGCCUUCGGGUUGUAAAGCUCUUUCGCAAGGGAAGAAACGAUACUGGUGAAUAUCCAGUGUUAAUGACGGUACCUUGAUAAGAAGCACCGGCUAACUACGUGCCAGCCGCCGCCGUAA
RNAcentral lists this ribosomal RNA (502 nucleotides) under uncultured bacterium. RNAcentral's name for it is "partial 16S ribosomal RNA". It matches the Rfam family "Bacterial small subunit ribosomal RNA", at positions 30 to 523 of the family's 1533-position model. The record is from RNAcentral.